Molecule: ribosomal RNA, 891 nt
Filed under: Salmonella enterica subsp. enterica serovar Newport
Lineage: Bacteria; Pseudomonadati; Pseudomonadota; Gammaproteobacteria; Enterobacterales; Enterobacteriaceae
Description: partial 23S ribosomal RNA
Rfam family: Bacterial large subunit ribosomal RNA
Source: RNAcentral
UUCCCCCAGUAGCGGCGAGCGAACGGGGAGGAGCCCAGAGCCUGAAUCAGCAUGUGUGUUAGUGGAAGCGUCUGGAAAGGCGCGCGAUACAGGGUGACAGCCCCGUACACAAAAGCGCAUGUGCUGUGAGCUCGAUGAGUAGGGCGGGACACGUGAUAUCCUGUCUGAAUAUGGGGGGACCAUCCUCCAAGGCUAAAUACUCCUGACUGACCGAUAGUGAACCAGUACCGUGAGGGAAAGGCGAAAAGAACCCCGGCGAGGGGAGUGAAAAAGAACCUGAAACCGUGUACGUACAAGCAGUGGGAGCACCCUUUUGGGUGUGACUGCGUACCUUUUGUAUAAUGGGUCAGCGACUUAUAUUCUGUAGCAAGGUUAACCGAAUAGGGGAGCCGGAGGGAAACCGAGUCUUAACCGGGCGUUAAGUUGCAGGGUAUAGACCCGAAACCCGGUGAUCUAGCCAUGGGCAGGUUGAAGGUUGGGUAACACUAACUGGAGGACCGAACCGACUAAUGUUGAAAAAUUAGCGGAUGACCUGUGGCUGGGGGUGAAAGGCCAAUCAAACCGGGAGAUAGCUGGUUCUCCCCGAAAGCUAUUUAGGUAGCGCCUCGUGAAUUCAUCUCCGGGGGUAGAGCACUGUUUCGGCUAGGGGGCCAUCCCGGCUUACCAACCCGAUGCAAACUGCGAAUACCGGAGAAUGUUAUCACGGGAGACACACGGCGGGUGCUAACGUCCGUCGUGAAGAGGGAAACAACCCAGACCGCCAGCUAAGGUCCCAAAGUCAUGGUUAAGUGGGAAACGAUGUGGGAAGGCCCAGACAGCCAGGAUGUUGGCUUAGAAGCAGCCAUCAUUUAAAGAAAGCGUAAUAGCUCACUGGUCGAGUCGGCCUGCGCG